This is a long non-coding RNA of Ochotona curzoniae (black-lipped pika), 646 nucleotides long. RefSeq lists it as uncharacterized. The transcript is spliced from 6 exons. The record is from RefSeq and is a predicted model, not a curated record. NCBI's taxonomy places the organism in Eukaryota, Metazoa, Chordata, Mammalia, Lagomorpha, Ochotonidae.
AAGUCGGCCGCGUGGCUGGCGUCAUGGCCGCUUCCUCGGGUGUGCAAGCCGGGUCCCCGGUUCAGGCCUUUGCAGAUGGCAAGGCUGCAGGGGCGGGCGGACAGGUCUCUGCCACAGUGCUGCAACACCUCGGAGGCGGAGGCGUUUCUGUGGCGGCCGCGGCGCAGGUGCCAAGGCGAGCUUCGGGGAGUGGAUGGACGCCUGGCCUGACAUAGGGGAGCUGGCCGGAAGGCGGGUGAAACCCUCAGACGAAGAGGAGGGGGAGGAGAAGGCGGCGUCUCCACGUGACAGAUUUCCUUAGCCAGGUGCGGCUUGGCCUCCCGUCCUGAGGCUGAACUGGGACCUUCUGGGCACUGUCCUGAGCUCCCUGUGCAGGUCGUGUCACAGCUGGACAGGAUGGAUGGCUCCACCUGAGGGGCCUUCGGUGAUGCCCGGUGGGAGCUGCAAGUCCUACCUCUGCUGGGUGAGCUCAGCGGGACGUUUCACGAUUACACAGCGGGGUCAGAGUCCCGUGUCAGUCCUCUGGGUGCUGGUGGACCCACAGUGACUGCAGCUGGAUUAAGAACAUGCAUGUACUCCCUAAGCCCCGGGAGCAUCUCCGUGGGUGUAUGCCUGCUGGGGCCCUGCACAAAUAAAGUGUUUUUAA